AGGGCACAGCAGGAAGCCACCUCUCUGCCCGACCUCAAGGAUAAACUUGAAAACGAGAUCACAAAGAAGGACUCUCUGCAUCGACAGCACUGUUUCCAAAGGAACAGGGAGUGGCCGGGAAUGUGUAGGCAGCUGGCCAUUUUGGUCAUCCGGCAUUGAACAGGAAAACCGCAUCCAGCUUCUUGGAAACAUAGUGAGUUUGCCUGGUGUGUUUGUCAAAUGUGUCAGUCGACCCAAAAUGAUAAUCAAAGUGAAAGACUAGGAAGCCAUGAAAAUGACAUUGAGGAAUGCUGUUUGAGAGCACGUAAGAUGUUCCAAAUCAUGAGUGUAAAAGGCAGAUCGCGAAAUACUAUGUGUACAGCAUGUGAUUUAUUUUUGAGGGUUUUAAAGCAUGAUACACGGUCUGUAUAUACACAGAAAGCUAUAUGCACACAGAAGAUGGAAGGAGUCUGUGGGAACAAAUGUUAACCUGGCAAAAACCUCACCUUAUACAUGAUUUUCAAAAUGACUUUAUAUAUUUUUAAUGCUUAUUUAUUUUUGAGAGAGGGAGCCAGAGAGAGAGAGAGAGAGAGAGAGAGAGAGAGAGAGAGACAGAAAGAGCAUGAGCAGUGGAGGGCCAGAGAGGGAGAGAGGGAGACACAGAAUCCCAAGCAGGCUCCAGGCUCUGAGCUGUCAGC
Long non-coding RNA from Neofelis nebulosa (Clouded leopard), 677 nucleotides. RefSeq lists it as uncharacterized. The record is from RefSeq and is a predicted model, not a curated record. Lineage: Eukaryota; Metazoa; Chordata; Mammalia; Carnivora; Felidae. The transcript has 3 exons.